CGCGGACCGCGCAGACGCGCAGCCCUAGGGAGCAGGAGUCUCCUCCGGCGCCCGGGAUCCCCAUCGCAGCUCCGAGCUGCCUAACGGAGCACAUCGCAUGCGCACCGAGACGCACCGGGGAAAGGGAGAGUGAGGGGAGGGACGAACGAAAAGCGCCGGCAGUCGGAGCCCGCAGGGGGUCACUGACUACGCAUGCGCCGGGAGGGAGCGCAAUCACAGACUAGUCUUGCGGCUACCGGCUUAAAAAAGGAAACCCCCGAGACCGAGAGCGCGAAGGAAAUCUGGCCGCCGACGCGUGCGCGCUCCCGUGAAAGAAAAGCACUAGAAGGAACUUUUAGUCAUUGUUGAUUUGGCCGUUACGCUGAUGCCCCAAUCAAAAAAAGGUGAUAGAGUUGGCUAUUAGUCAAGACUCUCUACUAACCUGUGAGAUACAUAGAGGAUGCAGUACAGUUGACCCUUCCCUGAAGAGUUGGACAUGACUGAGUACACUGCUGCUGCUGCUGCUAAGUCACUUCAGUUGUGUCCAACUCUGUGCGACCCCAUAGACGGCAGCCCACCAGGCUCCCCCGUCCCUGGGAUUCUCCAGGCAAGAACACCGGAGUGGGUUGUCAUUUCCUUCUCCAAUGCAUGAAAGUGAAAGGUGAAAGUGAAGUUGCUCAGUCGUGUCUGACUCUUAGCGACCCCAUGGACUGCAGCCCACCAGGCUCCUCCAUCCGUGGGAUUUUCCAAGCAAGAGUACUGGAGUGGGGUGCCAUUGCCUUCUCCGGACUGAAUACACACACACCCUUAAAAGAGCAUGUGUGUAAUGAUUGUAACCCAAGUUAGGAAAUGAUAGAUUCUGGAAGAAAAACAUACCUAAGGUUGUAAGACUGUUUCCAGCUUUUUAUUUUUGUGGGCAUGGAGUUUGAAUGAAGAGUAGAGAUUUUUCAUGACAUUUAAAAUAGGAAAGGAUAAAGCAAAUUUAGCUUGUCUUAGCUCUUACGGGGUAAGAAAGUAAGGAGUUAAGUUGUGUCCUCAUAGCAGGCACUAACUGCUGGCUUAUUUUUGUUUUUUUACUCUCUCCCACCAGAACCAUUUGAUGUUUUACUUGAUAAUUAUAGCCUCUCUUAGAUUUCAGGAUUUGGAGAAUAGGAGAUUUAAGUCUGCUGGUUAACUGUUGUCUGCCAUCUAAUGUUUCAGGCAAUGUUAGUAUUAAAAGUAAAUUGUUUUUUCCUAUCAUUUUUUUCCUCAAAGCACAUAUUUAAUGUACUCGCUCCCCCAUAUUUUUACUUCUUGUGCUGUGUCAAAUAAAAUACUUAUUUUCUGAAAUAUUUUAAACUGUGAAGGCAAACAGCAUUAUGGUGAAAAAUCUGUCAAAGUUCCUCAUUACAGCAAAAUUACCUUCUAUUGUUUGUAUUUCUUUCCAGUUCUUUGCAGAUGCAUGAAGUUAAAAAAAAAAAAAAAGAAACUUUCAUAGUUUCUUGCAGGCAUUGUCCCAGUAUUGUACUUUAUAUUUUAUCCUUUUCUGAGUCUAAAAUUUUAGGUGGCAUUGAAUGAAUUAUAGAAAACUUUUUAGUGUCAGAACAAUUU
This is a long non-coding RNA of Bos taurus (domestic cattle), 1569 nucleotides long. Lineage: Eukaryota; Metazoa; Chordata; Mammalia; Artiodactyla; Bovidae. The record is from Ensembl.